This 253-nucleotide ribosomal RNA is filed under the name uncultured bacterium. RNAcentral describes it as "partial 16S ribosomal RNA". It matches the Rfam family "Bacterial small subunit ribosomal RNA", at positions 524 to 776 of the family's 1533-position model. The record is from RNAcentral.
UACGUAGGGCGCAAGCGUUAUCCGGAAUUAUUGGGCGUAAAGAGCUCGUAGGCGGUUUGUCACGUCGGAUGUGAAAUCCCGGGGCUUAACCUCGGGUCUGCAUUCGAUACGGGCUGACUAGAGUUCGGUAGGGGAGACUGGAAUUCCUGGUGUAGCGGUGAAAUGCGCAGAUAUCAGGAGGAACACCGGUGGCGAAGGCGGGUCUCUGGGCCGAUACUGACGCUGAGGAGCGAAAGCGUGGGGAGCGAACAGG